RNAcentral lists this ribosomal RNA (590 nucleotides) under uncultured bacterium. RNAcentral's name for it is "bacterial SSU rRNA". It matches the Rfam family "Bacterial small subunit ribosomal RNA", at positions 337 to 917 of the family's 1533-position model. The record is from RNAcentral.
UCCUACGGGAGGCAGCAGUAGGGAAUCUUCCGCAAUGGACGAAAGUCUGACGGAGCAACGCCGCGUGAGUGAUGAAGGCUUUCGGGUCGUAAAACUCUGUUGUUAGGGAAGAACAAGUGCUAGUUGAAUAAGCUGGCACCUUGACGGUACCUAACCAGAAAGCCACGGCUAACUACGUGCCAGCAGCCGCGGUAAUACGUAGGUGGCAAGCGUUAUCCGGAAUUAUUGGGCGUAAAGCGCGCGCAGGUGGUUUCUUAAGUCUGAUGUGAAAGCCCACGGCUCAACCGUGGAGGGUCAUUGGAAACUGGGAGACUUGAGUGCAGAAGAGGAGAGUGGAAUUCCAUGUGUAGCGGUGAAAUGCGUAGAGAUAUGGAGGAACACCAGUGGCGAAGGCGACUUUCUGGUCUGUAACUGACACUGAGGCGCGAAAGCGUGGGGAGCAAACAGGAUUAGAUACCCUGGUAGUCCACGCCGUAAACGAUGAGUGCUAAGUGUUAGAGGGUUUCCGCCCUUUAGUGCUGAAGUUAACGCAUUAAGCACUCCGCCUGGGGAGUACGGCCGCAAGGCUGAAACUCAAAGGAAUUGACGGA